GAUGAACGCUGGCGGCGUGCUUAACACAUGCAAGUCGAACGGUGAAGCAGGAGCUUGCUCUUGUGGAUCAGUGGCGAACGGGUGAGUAACACGUGAGCAACCUGCCCCUGACUCUGGGAUAAGCGCUGGAAACGGCGUCUAAUACUGGAUAUGUGAUGUGACCGCAUGGUCUGCAUCUGGAAAGAAUUUCGGUUGGGGAUGGGCUCGCGGCCUAUCAGCUUGUUGGUGAGGUAAUGGCUCACCAAGGCGUCGACGGGUAGCCGGCCUGAGAGGGUGACCGGCCACACUGGGACGGAGACACGGCCCAGACUCCUACGGGAGGCAGCAGUGGGGAAUAUUGCGCAAUGGGCGAAAGCCUGACGCAGCGACGCCGCGUGAGGGAUGAAGGUCUUCGGAUCGUAAACCUCUUUCAGUAGGGACGAAGCGAAAGUGACGGUACCUAAAGAAGAAGCACCGGCUAACUACGUGCCAGCCGCCGCGGUAA
Molecule: ribosomal RNA, 484 nt
Filed under: uncultured bacterium
Lineage: Bacteria
Description: partial 16S ribosomal RNA
Rfam family: Bacterial small subunit ribosomal RNA
Source: RNAcentral